RNAcentral lists this ribosomal RNA (515 nucleotides) under uncultured bacterium. Its description in RNAcentral is "partial 16S ribosomal RNA". It matches the Rfam family "Bacterial small subunit ribosomal RNA", at positions 28 to 523 of the family's 1533-position model. The record is from RNAcentral.
GAUGAACGCUGGCGGCGUGCCUAAUACAUGCAAGUCGAGCGAAUGGAUUAAGAGCUUGCUCUUAUGAAGUUAGCGGCGGACGGGUGAGUAACACGUGGGUAACCUGCCCAUAAGACUGGGAUAACUCCGGGAAACCGGGGCUAAUACCGGAUAACAUUUUGAACCGCAUGGUUCGAAAUUGAAAGGCGGCUUCGGCUGUCACUUAUGGAUGGACCCGCGUCGCAUUAGCUAGUUGGUGAGGUAACGGCUCACCAAGGCAACGAUGCGUAGCCGACCGGAGAGGGUGGUCGGCCAGACUGGGACUGCGACACGGCCCAGACUCCUACGGGAGGCAGCAGUAGGGAAUCUUCCGCAAUGGACGAAAGUCUGACGGAGCAACGCGGCGUGAGUGAUGAAGGCUUUCGGGUCGUAAAACUCUGUUGUUAGGGAAGAACAAGUGCUAGUUGAAUAAGCUGGCACCUUGACGGUACCUAACCAGAAAGCCACGGCUAACUACGUGCCAGCAGCCGCGGUAA